Molecule: ribosomal RNA, 505 nt
Filed under: uncultured bacterium
Lineage: Bacteria
Description: partial 16S ribosomal RNA
Rfam family: Bacterial small subunit ribosomal RNA
Source: RNAcentral
GACGAACGCUGGCGGCGUGCCUAAUACAUGCAAGUCGAACGCACAGUUUAUACCGUAGCUUGCUACACCAUAGACUGUGAGGUGCGAACGGGUGAGUAACGCGUAGGUAACCUGCCUGGUAGCGGGGGAUAACUAUGGGAAACGAUAGCUAAUACCGCAUAAUAUUGAUUAUUGCAUGAUAAUUAAUUGAAAGGUGCAAUUGCACCACUACCAGAUGGACCUGCGUUGUAUUAGCUAGUAGGUGAGGUAACGGCUCAACUAGGCGAAGAUACAUAGCCGACCUGGGAGGGGUAACCGCCCACCCGGGAACUGGACAAGGGUCAAAACCCCUACGGGGGGAGGCGGAGGGAAAUCUUGGGAAUGGAGGAAAGGCUUAACGGGGCAACGCCGCUUGGUGAAGAAGGGUUUCCGAUUGUAAAGACCCGUUUUAAGGGAAGAAAGGGUGGGAUAGUGGAAAGUGCACGUUGUGACGGUACCUAAUCAGAAAGAGACGGCUAACUACGUG